UACGGAAGGCAGCAGUGGGGAAUAUUGCACAAUGGGCGAAAGCCUGAUGCAGCUAUGCCGCGUGUAUGAAGAAGGCCUUAGGGUUGUAAAGUACUUUCAUCGGGGAGGAAAAACAAAACUAAUAAUUUUAUUUCUUGACGUUACCCGAAAAAGAAGCACCGGCUAACUCCGUGCCAGCAGCCGCGGUAAUACGGAGGGUGCUAGCGUUAAUCAGAAUUACUGGGCGUAAAGAGCACGUAGGUGGUUUUUUAAGUCAGAUGUGAAAUCCCUGGGCUUAACCUAGGAACUGCAUUUUGAAACUGAAAUACUAGAGUAUCGUAGAGGGAGGUAGAAUUCUAGGUGUAGCGGUGAAAUGCGUAGAUAUCUGGAGGAAUACCUGUGGCGAAAGCGGCCUCCUAAACGAAUACUGACACUGAGGUGCGAAAGCGUGGGGAGCAAACAGGGAUUAGAUACC
Molecule: ribosomal RNA, 454 nt
Filed under: uncultured bacterium
Lineage: Bacteria
Description: bacterial SSU rRNA
Rfam family: Bacterial small subunit ribosomal RNA
Source: RNAcentral